GAUGAACGCUGGCGGCGUGCCUAAUACAUGCAAGUCGAGCGAACAGACGAGGAGCUUGCUCCUCUGACGUUAGCGACGGACGGGUGAGUAACACGUGGAUAACCUACCUCUAAGACUGGGAUAACUUCGGGAAACCGGAGCUAAUACCGGAUAAUAUAUUGAACCGCAUGGUUCAAUAGUGAAAGACGGUUUUGCUGUCACUUAUAGAUGGAUCCGCGCCGCAUUAGCUAGUUGGUAAGGUAACGGCUUACCAAGGCAACGAUGCGUAGCCGACCUGAGAGGGUGAUCGGCCACACUGGAACUGAGACACGGUCCAGACUCCUACGGGAGGCAGCAGUAGGGAAUCUUCCGCAAUGGGCGAAAGCCUGACGGAGCAACGCCGCGUGAGUGAUGAAGGUCUUCGGAUCGUAAAACUCUGUUAUUAGGGAAGAACAAAUGUGUAAGUAACUAUGCACGUCUUGACGGUACCUAAUCAGAAAGCCACGGCUAACUACGUG
Molecule: ribosomal RNA, 497 nt
Filed under: uncultured bacterium
Lineage: Bacteria
Description: partial 16S ribosomal RNA
Rfam family: Bacterial small subunit ribosomal RNA
Source: RNAcentral